This 407-nucleotide ribosomal RNA is filed under the name uncultured bacterium. Its description in RNAcentral is "partial 16S ribosomal RNA". It matches the Rfam family "Bacterial small subunit ribosomal RNA", at positions 30 to 526 of the family's 1533-position model. The record is from RNAcentral.
AUUGAACGCUGGCGGCAGGCCUAACACAUGCAAGUCGAGCGGAGCGGCGGACGGGUGAGUAAUGACUAGGAAUCUGCCCGGUAGUGGGGGACAACGUCCGGAAACGGCCCCUAAUACCGCAUACUAUCAGAUGAGCCUCGGUGGGAUUAGCUAGUUGGUGGGGUAAAGGGCUACCAAGGCGACGAUCCGUAACUGGUCUGAGAGGAUGAUCAGUCACACUGUAACUGAGACACGGUCCAGACUCCUACGGGAGGCAGCAGUGGGGAAUAGUGGACAAUGGGCGAAAGCCUGAUCCAGCCAUGCCGCGUGUGUGAAGAAGGUCUUCGGAUUGUAAAGCACUUUUAGUUGGGAGGCGUUACCAACAGAAUAAGCACCGGCUAACUUCGUGCCAGCAGCCGCGGUAAUUC